CCCACCUACGAUUCCAAACCAUCCAGACAAGGAUGAUGAUACUCCAAUUUGGUGCUUCUAUUGGCUACAGCAUGAUGGCAACUUCAACCCUGCACUACUUUUGAAGAAGUGUUCAGAUCAACCAAGGCAGAGUCAGAAUGAAGACUGCAAAAAACAUUGUCAAUUCAGAAACCAAUUAGAACAAGCUAGAAGUCAAAGUCAACAGUGAAAUGGCAUGGCGCGAACUUCUUCGCACUAUUGCCUAGCUUGCACCCUCCCAACUUAUGUCACUGUCUUUUUUGCAUGGCAUAAAUCUUUAUUUUCUCAUAUGCCAUGACAACUUAUGUCAAGUUUCCUUUUCUUUAUUUUGUUAAGCAUGUAUGUGUUAUCUUCGGCUCCUUGGGUCCGAGAAACUUGAAGUGGCUCCG
Arachis duranensis is the source of this 407-nucleotide long non-coding RNA. RefSeq lists it as uncharacterized. The transcript is spliced from 3 exons. The record is from RefSeq and is a predicted model, not a curated record. Lineage: Eukaryota; Viridiplantae; Streptophyta; Magnoliopsida; Fabales; Fabaceae.